This 766-nucleotide long non-coding RNA is filed under the name Danio rerio (zebrafish). RNAcentral describes it as "si:dkey-208b15.2 (ENSDARG00000095836.2)". The record is from RNAcentral. Lineage: Eukaryota; Metazoa; Chordata; Actinopteri; Cypriniformes; Danionidae.
AAAGCUAAAUUUAGACCAAAUAAACACUGUUACUUGUAUAUGAUAUAAAUGUAAUAUUUUGUAAUGUAUGUUUCAUCUCCAGUUGUCACACACCUCUCUGAGAGCCACCAGCUCUUUAUCCCGCUGUUCUAGCAGGUUCUCCAGGUGGUGCGCAUGCAUCUCUGCAUCUGCCAGGCGUCGUGUUCGCUCAUGAUCUUCUUCACUGGCUUUAGCUGACGGGCCCUUGCUGUGCAACAUCUCCAGGAGCUUUUUGACAGAGUCAUCGCGAGCAACGAGCGUCUGCCGCUGGGCCUCCAUGCGCAGCUCCAUCUCCUCCAGCGUACGGCGGAGCAAGAAGAGCUCUCGAGCCUGACGUUCCUGCUCCUCACUGGGUUCGCAGGCCAGAGGCUCCCCGGGCGGCUGGAGAAGCUGGUUCAAGUCACGCUGGAUACGCAGCUCGGCCUGCAGCGCCUGCACUGUUGUCUGCAGAUGCUGUAAGAGGAAUUCAGGCAGUGAACACAGCAGUGAGCCGCACGCAGCAGGACCAGGAUGUCCAUUUCAGGAUUGGCCGUUAGGAUGACCUCACAGAAGAGAAAACCCAGAGAAAAGGAGGAAAGGGAAUAAAGACUUUGCUUUCUUUAAGAGAGCACAGAAGGCUGCAAAGCGCCCUUUCCUUAGCUGUGACCGGAACAGAGUGGUUCCCUUUGAACCACGGUCAGAUAUCGACGAUUUCGAGCACCUGCCUGUUCCAGGUGCCUCCAGGACUGUCGUUGUUGCAGCCAGGCCA